CUUUUUUUUAAGUGCGUCGGUCCUAACGGGGAUCGGCGGCUCUGUGUAGGUCUUAACGUCUGGGUCAGUAACUGUGUAGCUCGGUCGGCGAGCGAAGGAGCGCUCGAGGUCUAAAGCGACAGAGCGAGCGAGCAGCGAGCGGCAGGGGAGGAUACAUCGGCUAGCAAGCCGCGGGUCCUGGCGUCGGACAGGCAGGGCAGGCGAACCACAAACCCCGAGCCGCCGCCGGCGCGGUGGAGUUGACGCCUCAGCACGGGAACGUUCGGCGGCGGCGGCGGGUUAGGCGUGUAGCCGCGAGCCGGCUCUCCGUCAUCGGUCGGUCGUUGGUAGGCACAACUAAACUCCUGGUUUCAGCGGUACGAUGGAAACGCUCGUCCUCCUCCUGUGCCAACUAGUAUAAUGCUACGUCACACACAAACGCUCCGUCCACACCAUAUCAACGAAAGAGUCUUACUUGUAGUUAUAUCUAGAGACGGGUUGUGUGGUAAGGUGGUAUCUACGAACCACCCUACGACGCUCCUUCGUACAGGGCUUUUCCGACUCCUUCCCGAAGCUGAGUCACCAGUAAAGCUAGACGACCUUAGAUACCUUUGUUACGUUGCCUUCCCAGAAACCGGCAUUACUGGAAUCCUUACAUCCACCUUGACACCUAAACUAAACCGUUACACCAGAUCUCGCCCUCGGUGGCCUCAUUGGUAAACCACACUCAUCAUCCCAUCGACAACCUACUCACCUCCCAAACCACCUCCCUAGAACACUCCCGGAAGAUGGCUGGCACAUUAGAGAACAUUUAUAAAAAGAGAGAAGAUAUUUCGAUACCAUGCAGAAACCGCAUGGGAGCUUUUUUUUCAUAUCUCACUUACCUACAGAUCUCCUAUCCAGAUUUUGACAUAAGUAGUACCAUCAUAUUCUUUUGAUAUAAUGUUUUCAGGUUACACGUAACUGUAGAAUAAUUUUGUGACCAGUUGACCUUCUAAAUGUCUUGGAAGACUUUAGUAACUGGUACACGGAUAACGGUAAUGG
RNAcentral lists this ribosomal RNA (1023 nucleotides) under Triticum aestivum (bread wheat). RNAcentral's name for it is "partial small subunit ribosomal RNA". Lineage: Eukaryota; Viridiplantae; Streptophyta; Magnoliopsida; Poales; Poaceae. The record is from RNAcentral.